UCAGCGGGUAACACGGAGGCUGGCUGCAAGAUUCAUUUCCUCCUCCUCCGCCGCCAUUUUGUGUCGGAUUCGCUACGAAGAAGCAGCAGCGCGGAGGGGAAAAAGGGGGAAUCAGCCAAGAGCGGGAAACUGAGUGCGUGUGACCGAGCAAGAACCGCGGGGAUACAGGACCGAACCGCACACAAGAAAACCAACGACGACAUAGCAUUCGCCGGUAACUUUCCUGAGCGGACGGUGAGGACAGCAGCCCGGGCUGCAGGUCACAAUGACCAACGAAGAACCACUUCCAAAAAAGGUUCGGCUCAGUGAAGCAGAUUUUAAAGUCUUGCCAAGGGAAGAACUCCUUCAAAGAUGGAAGCAAUAUGAAGCUUAUGUUCAAGCUCUUGAGAACAAGUACACUGAUCUGAAUUCUAAUGAUGUAACCGGCCUUCGAGAAUCUGAAGAGAAACUAAAACAGCAGCAGCAGGAGUCCGCCAGAAGGGAGAACAUAUUAGUCAUGCGAUUGGCCACUAAGGAGCAGGAGAUGCAGGAAUGCACGAACCAGAUUCAGCAUCUCAAGCAAGUCCAGCAGCCAAGUGUUGCCCAGCUGAGAACAACUUUGGUUGACCCAGCCAUCAACUUGUUUUUCCUCAAAAUGAAAGGUGAACUGGAACAGACUAAAGACAAACUGGAACAAGCCCAAAAUGAACUGAGUGCCUGGAAAUUUACGCCUGAUAGGUAAACAAACCAAAUACUCCCCAGUCAAGACUUCCCUGACAAUCCCACUGCGAGAGUGCUAUGGUGGGAUGGCCAAGUACUCGUUUUGCACACCAAGACUCAGACUCUGUGAGCCAAAAAAAGCCACUUUCUUACACUGUCCAGCUUGUAAUGCUUAAUGUAAAACUUAUCAGAUGAACCUUGUAUUUCAGCUUUUUAUUUUCCUCCCUUCAUUUGCUUCAGAGGCCUGAGAGCAUCGGACUAUUCCGAAGAAGAGGCCGCAUCCGGCAGUGUCCCCAUUUUCUAGAACACUUAGACACUUUCAAAAAUGGUUCUGAUUGAAGAAAAUACAGGCAGAAAAAACGAGUCUGGCACAUUGUGUCAGUGUCCAUUUAUGGAGGAGAGAACUUAGUUUUGGGGGUUUUCUUUUUCUUUUUUCUUUUUUUUUCCUUUUGCCAUAAAUCAUGUAAUUGAACAUGUAAAAUUACCGUAAAAGGUGGAAUGUUCAUUGCUCUUUACAAUGAGCCUAAUGACUUAUAGACAUUUUAAGCCCGCAUAUUCAAGUAAGACUCUGGACUUCAUGAUUGUUCAAUGAACUGCUGAGCCCAAUCUGAAACUUGAGGUGAUCUUUGUUUUUAAGGGGUUGCCUAUUGAUAGUUUUUGACACAAUAUCCUGACACCAGAGUAGUGUUUGCUUUUGAACAACCAGCUACCAUUUAUUGUGCUUUAUAGCAAGGCUGGUAUUUGUUUAAAGGGCACUUAUCUGAUGUGUGGUAUUCCUACGGGCACAAAAUAUGGAGUUUUAUGCACCUCCAUGUGAAAUGAGCUUGGCUGAGGAAUCAUGUCAUGCAAUGUGACUGUUAUUGCAAGGGUUAGCAAAUAACUGCAGCAAAGAAGCAAGUCAAUUAGAUCGGAAAUAACAUGGCAUACAUUUCUACAGAAAUAUUAGGCCUGCUGGUAUUACCAUCUUGUGCGCUUUUCUUUAGACGUUUUAGUACUGUUUUUUUUUUUUUUUUGGUAUUUUGUGUGCUUUUCUGCUUCAGAUGCUGCCAAGAAAGACAAUUGGCAAAAAUGCACUUUAAGUUCGUUUGCCACAAAAGAGUUACAUUUAAAAAAAAUUCCCCCCUUGGAUUGCACAAACUUUUUUUCUGGUGCAUUGCCAGGAAUUUAAGGGAUUGUUAUGAUCUAAUCAAAUAUCUUCUGUGAAGAUCUCGGUUACCUGAAAUCAGUGUUUUUCCUGUGUUUUUUUAGAGAUAUAUACCAGCCAAACAGGCAAAAAACUAAUGGCGAAGUGUCGAAUGCUUAUCCAGGAGAAUCAAGAGCUGGGAAGGCAGCUGUCCCAAGGUCGUAUUGCUCAACUUGAGGCAGAGUUGGCUUUGCAGAAGAAAUAUAGUGAGG
This is an RNA transcript of Bufo gargarizans (Asiatic toad), 2094 nucleotides long. It is a transcript of the gene named WT1 associated protein, with no coding region annotated. The transcript is spliced from 7 exons. The record is from RefSeq and is a predicted model, not a curated record. Lineage: Eukaryota; Metazoa; Chordata; Amphibia; Anura; Bufonidae.